CUGCUGUUUUUGCAGUUCCAGUCUACUUCGUAGUAAUCACAGGGCUAUGCUGCCUAACCUCUUACCUGACAUUCCUACUCUCGCCCUCCUGCCUCCACACACUUGAAAUGGCACCUGAACAGAAAUAUGGUUCUUGUUUGACAGACCACCGAACUAAGGCUAUGCUUCAGUUUCAGUCACAUAAGGAGUGAUUUGAUGCUGUUCUUUGGACUUGCAAAACUAUUAAGAGUCAGAUUACUUCCUAGAUUAAAGAACUUCUCAUCAAUAAAACAUAUUUCAU
Lepisosteus oculatus (spotted gar) is the source of this 280-nucleotide non-coding RNA. Lineage: Eukaryota; Metazoa; Chordata; Actinopteri; Semionotiformes; Lepisosteidae. The record is from RefSeq and is a predicted model, not a curated record.